This 3538-nucleotide long non-coding RNA is filed under the name Chloebia gouldiae (Gouldian finch). Its description in RNAcentral is "Erythrura gouldiae (Gouldian finch) lncRNA (ENSEGOG00005005407.1)". Lineage: Eukaryota; Metazoa; Chordata; Aves; Passeriformes; Passeridae. The record is from RNAcentral.
CGCACACGGCCGCAGGUGCUGCGGCGAUGUCCCCGGCGCGCCCAGGGCGCUGCACCUGCCCCGGGAGCGGUGUCAGUGCCCGCUGGUGCCUCCCCUCCGUCCGCACGGGAACAAGGAAGCAGCUCCAACUUCCUUCAGCCAUCACUCGGCAGCGUAGUUCCCUGCUGGCACCUUCCCUACGCCCUGCGUCCUCGGGUCCCUUACCUUGCAAGGCAUUGGGGUGCUGGCUUUGGACAUGACUCGGGGCACGGGAGGGCUGCCCCUGCUGCUGCUGAGCCUUGCUGUGCUGGAUCUCCCACUGGGGACCACUGUCAGAGAUAUGACAAGGCCUGCAUCCCUGACUCUCCCAACCUCCUCGACACCCACGGAGACCAUGGCACCACUGCCCAACACCAGCUCAAGCACUGCAGCCACCUUCCCUUCCUCUCCUCCUGCAACUUCUACCCCAGAGAUGCCAAUGGAUGCCUUCAUAUCCAGUGCUUCUACAGCUCAGCAGAGCAGCCUGGCAGCCUCCAACAUCACCACACCACAGGCAAGGGGCAGCACAGCUCACAGCACUCCUGUGUCACCUGGGCUGGGACCCACCACCAGCAGUACCCCAGUAAGGUUGGGGCUCACGACCACCAGCACGCCACCUCCAACCUCCAUGGCCAUGACACCCAUCAGUGACAAGAUUACCACUUUCACAUCUGUGGGGACCAGCACAGCCCUGGCUGUCAGCUCAUCUGGAGUUGAAAUGAGCACGUUGCCUCCCUCCACGUCUACCCUUCUCUCCUCCACCGGGGUGGGCACCACGCUUGGCACCAGCACCCACCAAGGGCCAGCCAUGACCACACUGCUUGGCAGCACAUCCCCAGGGACCAGCACCACCUCUUCUUCCACCAUCCCAGAAGUGACAGACACUUCAGAUGGGCCCUUGAUGACCCCAUCAGACACCAUAACCUCCCUUGUUACCACCACAGAGUUCCUUGGGACCACCCCUGGUACUUCCACCCCAAGAGAACCAGAGACCUCCAGUGGCACUACAGAGACCACUGCCAUGGGUGUGACAGCAACUGUGUCUCCAGCUCUCCUUACCUCCUCAACACCCAUGGAGAGCUCAACACUGCUGCCUACCACUGACGCCACCACCACAGACACCCUCCUUUCCUCCAGCCCUGAAACAGAAGCCUCCACCCCAGAGGAGUCCAGCACAUCCACAGAGACUGGCAACACCUCACCUCCCACUGUGCUUCCUCCCACCACAACUACAGAAGAUUCAUCUGAAUCUACAGAAGAGUCCUUGUCAACCCUGGCAGAUACCACAGCCAGCCCUGUCAUCAGCACAUCAGACCCCAUGAGCACUCCCUCUUCAAGCUACCCAGACAGGACCGCUCCUGACAUCUUCCCCCCAACUGUGGAGUUGACUCCAGGUGCAUCUUACCUCUUUCUGUCGCUGCGGCUGACCACCCCUCUGGACCUGAGGAACACCACAGUGCAGGAGCUGAUGUUGUCCAAGCUCCGUGAGGACCUGCAGACAGCGUUCCCGUGUGCUGGCCUGUCACUGGCAUGGCGAGGGAAGAGGAGGACUUGACUGCUGCCUGUUGCCUGGCCUGCUCUCUCCUGGACUGCCAAGCCACCCGCUCCCAGCUCCUCACUCCAUGGUGGUGCAGGCCCCUGGGGAAUCCCACACAACUCCUCUUGAGCCUGGGGCUUCCUGUCCUUCACUCUGUUCCCCCAGUCCCCUCCUUCCCCUUCCCACAGCCUGUCCGAAGAGCCCGUGCCCUCCCACCACCCUGCUCCAGACCUGGUUCCUGUGGUGGGACCCCCUCCAGCCCUGCUGCGGGGCUGGGAGAAGGGGACCCCGCAGGACUGGGCUUUUGCAUCUGGGACUGAUGGGGCAGCCAUCAAAGCCACCCUGGGGACAGAGGGAUGAGAGGAAGGAGACCUGAAGCACCCAGUACUGCUGUUCCCAAGGCUCACCUGCAGUAUUGCUGACAGAAGAGAACACCCAUGACGGGCAGUAAAUAGAAAUGCCAUGUUUUCUGUGUUGAAAUGAUGACUUCUUUUUUCAAUUUUCCAAGUUGCCUUUCCCAAUUUUCAGCUUUGCCAUCGAUUGGAGGUACCGGUGAGGAAAACUGAGUCUCCAGAGCUUUGCGUGGAGAGCCAGGCUCAGUGCUGUCCCCUCCCACCAGGGGCUGCUGCAGACAUUCCCAAGGAUGGCUCGGCACCCCGGCAGACUGGUGGUCUCUGCUUUGGAGCUCUCUGCCCCAUAACACCCCACAGUGCAGGGGCAGCACUGUGGGGCUGUGGAAAUCCCGUGGGCUGUGCUCCUUACCUGUUUUUUCCAGUCCCCAACUAAGGAGAUGGCUGCAACAUCUGUCCCCCUGCAGCAAAGUCAUUUAUUAACUGAUUAAUUAGCCAGAUAAAAUCCAGCUGAAGCAAUUAUUAGCCUUAGCAAGCCACCUCACCUGGAAAUUGAAAACUGAAAUAAUUAGCAAAAUGGCCUUGUUGUGUGUCAGGGGUUGUUUUUGGCUGAUCCCUGCUUCUUACUGGCAGCCCUCACUGCCUCAACACAGGGAGGACUGAGAGGGGGCGUGUGGGGCUGUGGGAUUCCUAACCUGGGGACUUCUCUCAGGCUGUCUGGAUUGUCAGCAGCUGGACAGGAUGGGGAGAGACACUGUGGGAUGACCCAGCUGCCUGCCAGUUCAGAGGGCCUGGGAUGAGGCUGGGCUGGAGGCUGUGCCCAGGCAGCUUGUCAGGAUGCUCCCAUUUGGGUUGCUCCUUGCAUUCCAGGGUGGCCCCUUUGCUCUUUAGGAUGCUGCCUGGCUUUUGUGGGCUUGUUGGACUCAUCGAGACUGAGAGAGGUCCCUUAGCAGCUGGGCAAGGAGCUGACGAGCAGGGCAAAGCCUGUUGGAAGGAGUCCCUGUGCAGGCUGCCUGCUGGGGUGCUGGGAAAGAAAUCCUUGUGGCCUGCCUACGCCUUGGAGCUGGGCCAGGAGUCCUCCCACGUCGCGUCCCACUGGGCUGUUUUCUCCGGCUGUUGAAUCCAUAACUUCAGACCCCAGGACAUGGCUGGGUGCCAAGGCCAGGGUAAUGGAGCCAAACUGCGUCACAAAGGGAGGAAAAGGUCCUGAAGUGCUGGGAUAAAAAGGUGACCAGGGUACUCACUGUUCCCUGCUGGCACAGCCGCCCUCCACCGUUAUUGUGGCUGGGGGACCGUGGGGGGAGGAGAUGCUCUGCUCCCCUCUGUCACCAGGGAGGAGAGGAGCUCCCUUGGAGUGGUGUCACUGCCCAGGCAGUGGUGGCACAGAGCUCUGACAAGCCCCCGACACUGCCCAUACUCUUCCUGUGCCCAUACUCUGCUGUCCUUGAGGUGCCACCUUCACCCCAUGGCUGCUUGCCUGCCCCAAACUGCUGCCCAGACAGACUUGGGAGGCUGGAUCCAAGUCCUGCUGCUUUCCCAGCCCACAAAAGAGUUCUCAGCCUCUUUGUUGUAAUACACUCCAAUCUCUCAGCAUCGUCCAAAGGAAUAAAUCUUGUGCCCAACAUGACUGUCA